Molecule: ribosomal RNA, 500 nt
Filed under: uncultured bacterium
Lineage: Bacteria
Description: partial 16S ribosomal RNA
Rfam family: Bacterial small subunit ribosomal RNA
Source: RNAcentral
AUUGAACGCUGGCGGCAGGCCUAACACAUGCAAGUCGAGCGGAUGAGAGGAGCUUGCUUCUCGAUUCAGCGGCGGACGGGUGAGUAAUGCCUAGGAAUCUGCCUGGUAGUGGGGGACAACGUUUCGAAAGGAACGCUAAUACCGCAUACGUCCUACGGGAGAAAGCAGGGGACCUUCGGGCCUUGCGCUAUCAGAUGAGCCUAGGUCGGAUUAGCUAGUUAGUGAGGUAAUGGCUCACCAAGGCGACGAUCCGUAACUGGUCUGAGAGGAUGAUCAGUCACACUGGAACUGAGACACGGUCCAGACUCCUACGGGAGGCAGCAGUGGGGAAUAUUGGACAAUGGGCGAAAGCCUGAUCCAGCCAUGCCGCGUGUGUGAAGAAGGUCUUCGGAUUGUAAAGCACUUUAAGUUGGGAGGAAGGGUUGUAGAUUAAUACUCUGCAAUUUUGACGUUACCGACAGAAUAAGCACCGGCUAACUCUGUGCCAGCAGCCGCCGUAA